RNAcentral lists this long non-coding RNA (5668 nucleotides) under Manihot esculenta (cassava). Its description in RNAcentral is "long non-coding RNA (MESC_LNC003574)". Lineage: Eukaryota; Viridiplantae; Streptophyta; Magnoliopsida; Malpighiales; Euphorbiaceae. The record is from RNAcentral.
CCAAAAGAAAAUCAAAAGAUUGCCUAAACAGCAACAAGUUAAGAAGUAGACAAAUUGCUAAUAUAUCCAGAGAUAAUCAUAACAAAGUAGAGCAAGACAUGUGAUGGUGAGAAUUAGAUGCAAGACAUACUCAUGGGUAAGCAGCAUGGAUCUUGUCGUCCAUCGCCGAGAACAACCCAUCUGUUCUACGAGACAUAUCAUUUCUGUUCACACGGCUCCAGUAACAUAAAACAAACCUAGCUCGCCUACCUCAAUCGAUGUCUGCUUUUAAGAUUUGGAUCUGUCGUUUUACGUUGUUCUCUGCUGUGCAUCAAGCAAAUGAGUCUCCACCUAUUGAAUUUAAUGCCAGGUCUUAAUCAGAGAGAUUACAUAUAGACAGCUAAUUAAUGAUAAUUACCCAGUAAAGAAAAGGGAUUUUUUAUUUUCGUUAAUGAAAGCUUUAUCAUCCAUACAAGAAAUGAAGUGGAUAUUACUCAGAGAUUGCAUAUAGAAUCAACAUUGUGGAUGCUUGAGACAAUCCUCGUAGGAUUAUGGAAUAGUGGUGGGUGGAACCUGCUUAGCUCAGCAAUGAAGAAUUGAGGAUGAAACUUAAAAAACUGUCUUUUCUCUUCGGUUUUUAUGGAUGGAUGAAUCAUUUCCCAACUUAUAAAUCUUCAUAAUCUUUCAAUGGAAUUACCAGAUUUCCUUGUUCCCUAUAAAAGAGAAAGGGACAGGAUUACAAUCCAAAAAUAAAUAAAUUGUCGUCUAGAAAAAAGUGAGAUAAAAUCUUGUAGAUAAAAUGGUAGGAGCAGUGACGGAUAUAGAAAUUUGUUGAGAAGAGUCUAAUUUAAAUAAAUAAUUAAAAUAAAUAAAAUAUAUUAUUUCCUGUUUCACUAUUUUAUUAAUUUUUUUAAUUAUUGUUUCAUUCUGAAAUUAUUAUCUAUAUUUUUUAUUAUAAUAACACAUAAUUUACCGUUAUAAUUCUAUUUAAUUUUAUAUUAUUUUUAAAUUAAUUUAUUAUUAAUUAUUAUUUUUUAAAUAAGUAUUUAAAAUAUUUUUUAAUACUUAAUAAAAUUUAAUAUUUUUAAAAGGUAUAAUUGAAAAGUCAAUAAAAUAAAUUAUCUCUUUUGGACAAAAAAUUAUAAAAUAGAGAGUAUAAAAUAAAUACAUAUUUAGAAAUUAAAUUUUUAUGAAAAUGAAUAAACUAUUAUAAUUAAAUCAUAUUUCUUUACAUUUGUUUUUCAUUGAUUAAAAUAUAUUCUUAAUAAUAUUAUUAUCGACAUUUAUAAAUAUAUAUUUUAAUAUAAGUUAUCGAUAAAUUAUUUAUGAUUUAUUAUUAUAGAGUCAACUAUAUUUACUGUAGAUGAUUUAUUAUUGAAAUUUAAUUUUGUUUAAAAAGAAUAAUUUAACUCAUUAAAAUUUAUUUUUAUAUAAUUUCAAUCAUAUAAAUAGAUUAAUAACUAAAUAAGAUAAAUAAAAAAAAAUUAUUACUUAAUAAUAAAAAUGGUAUAUAAAAUUAAAUUAAAUAAUGAAUGGAUAAUCUAAGAAAAAAUUUAAAUGAAAAUUUCAACUUAAAAUCUUGAAAAUAAAAAAUAAAUUUUUUAAAUUGAAAAAUAAUGGAGAAAAUAGGGAUUAAAUAGUAAAAAUUCAUUUUGACAAAUUUGAUAUUAUAUUUAUAAUGAUGAUUUAAUUAAAUAAUUUUAAAAUAAGGAUUAACUGAUAAAUAUUUUAAAUAUAUAGAAAUCAAAUGAUAAUUUAAGAAAAAUUAUCUAUAUACUUAGUUAUGUUUGGCUCGUCCUAGAUUGGAGUCCCUUCACCUCUUAAUAAGAAGUUUCAAAUUCAAGGAUCGGAUAUGUUUUAUCUUUAAAACUAAUAGCCUUUUAUUUUUUUAAUGAAUGUGUUCGAAUUAAAUCUGAAUUAAUCAAAAGUUCAGAGUAAAUCUGAAUUAGUCAAAAGUAUUUUAGAAUGAUUUAUAUUUAAUGAAUAAAUUGCCUUAUGCUUUGCCGAGCCAAUUCGUAAACUCCACCCGGUUGUUAGAGAGGGCUAAAUGACCAUUCUUGCUUCAUUUUUUGGCUAAACAUGCUUUUUCUAUUAAUCGUAUUUGUCUCUUUUGAUGUAUAAUAACUAAUUCUCUAUAUAAUUAACUCACUUCACCAUCUUCCUCUCGAUCUCUUUCCCCCUUUUGUCACUCUCUCUUUCUCAGAUGUUGAGAUCCAUGCCAUGCCACUCCAUGUAUGAUUCUCAAUCCCACUCUAAUCACCAUCAAUCAAACCUACCAUCUGUUUGCUCACAGUCAAGUCUCCCGUCAAUUCCUUCACUCUCCUCCUCAUCACAACGCCAUCACCAACACUUCCUCCCCAAUGUCCACCACCGCUGCCUCACCACUCUUAAGGGUCACACCACCUAUGUUUCCUCUCUCACCUUAACUGGAAAGUUCCUCUACAGCGGCUCCUCAGACAAAGAAAUCAGGUCAUGGAAGCGAAACCAUCUAUACUCGGAACUAGAUCAUGAAAUCCUAUGCAACAACGUUGUAGCUGUGGGGAAAGGUGCAGUGAAGUCCCUAGUAGUUUUAGCUGAUAAACUCUUUAGUGCUCAUCAAGAUCACAAAAUCCGGGUAUGGAAAAUCAAUAAUAACCAAGAAACUGAUCAACAAAAGCAUACACAUUUAGCAACACUACCCACACUUGGUGAUCGAGCCUUAAAUAUUUUUUUACCUAAGAACCAGGUUCAGAUUAGGAGGCACAAAACUUGCACAUGGGUUCAUCACGCAGACACAGUCUCUGCACUUGCCUUGUCAAAGGACAAGUCUCUUCUCUAUUCCGUUUCAUGGGAUAGGACACUCAAGAUAUGGAGGACAAAUGACUUCAAGUGUCUGGAGUCAAUAUCAAGGGCACAUGAUGACGCUAUAAACGCAGUGGCAGCUUCAAGUGAUGGGGAUGUUUAUACCGGAUCAGCAGAUAGAAAAAUCAAGGUAUGGAGAAGUUCAGGAGAGAAGAAGCAUUCCUUAGUGGCUACAUUAGAGAAACACAGCUCAGGGAUUAAUGCCCUGGCAUUAAGCAAUGAUGGGUCAAUUCUGUACUCCGGUGCUUGUGACCGAACGAUAGUGAUCUGGGAGAAGGACGUGGGUGGUGGUAGUGGAAUGGUGGCUGUGGGUGCUCUGAGAGGGCAUACACAGUCCGUAUUGUGCUUAGCAGUUGUGUGUGAUUUGGUAUGCAGUGGUUCUGCGGACAAAACCAUAAGAGUUUGGAGAUGUGAUGAUAGGAAUGGGUGCUGUUUGGCAGUGUUGGAAGGGCAUAAAGGACCUGUCAAGUGCUUGACAGCAACAAUUGACCAUCAAAAUCCAUCUAAUACAUCUUACCUUAUUUACAGUGGGAAUUUGGAUUGUGAUAUAAAGGUGUGGCAGCUUAAUGUCCCAACAGAUCUAUAGAAACUUCUUCCAUCUAUGCCAUUAGAAAUGAUCUAAGAAGAGUGUGCAGUUCCCUGUUGUUUAUUUUACUUUUUAAACUUUGUUGCUUUCUUUUUCCUUCUCAAGGUCCUCCAUAGUUGUUGUAAGGUCACUGUGUAAGAUUUGAGACUGAUGAUCCUGGAGGAGACUUCACUCUCUCAAGAAUAACAAAGGAUUUAACAAGGGGAAAAAAAAAAAAAGGCAGGCACAUGAUUUUAGCUUUUAAAUAUGGAUCAAUUGUAAUUUAAUCCCCUUUUGAGACUUACUAAUUACAACAUUGUCAUCCAUAAAGCUACUAAAAAUAAUUAAAAAAAAAAAAAGGUUGUAGGAUAUUCAUAUCUCAAACUAUAGUUGAAUAAAAAAAGUUAAUAUAACUAGUAAUUUCCAAAAAUAUAUCAACUCCCUUUUGUACUCGUUUAAGUGAGAAUUGAGAAGCAUCACAUUUAUUUUAUCCUACAGAAAAAAGGUUACAAGCUUGUAUUAUUAACAUAUAAAGUAAUUGACUUUCUUUAAAUUAACAGUGUUGUAGAUAACCAAUACCUUUAUUCAGUAAUCAACCACUUUUAAACUACAGUUUUGAAAACCAAAUAAAACCACCAGUUCAUAUAGAGUCAAUUUAGACAAAAAUUGCCCACAUUUCAACUAGACAUUUUGUUUAGUCUGCAACAAAUUGUUUGCUAUUUCAUUUGUAGUUGGUAUUAAAAGAUGGUGCCAUGGAAGCUUCCUUUUGGAAAGAUAAGAGGGUCAUUGUACAUUCUCCUCCGUCGUCUACUUUUUGAACAUAAACUUCCAUGGCUCCUUAUGCAUCUUUUUGUUGUUUAUGCAUUUUCUUCCCAUAAAUUAAAUAUGAUGUUACAAUACCAAAAAUAUAUAUAUAGGACCCAAUGUGAUAUGACAGUAGAGUAGGGUCACAAGCUUAUAAUUUAAAAUAUGGAAUAAUAUGGUUUCCAAUAAUUCUUACAUGCUUUCCUAAAAGUGCCAACACAUUUAACAUUAUCACAAGGAUCGUACUAUAAAAAAAUGCAAAUUGUAAAUUUAAAAUGCACACAGCCAGAUCAAUAUAUACUCAGCAACUUCCUCUCAUUCAGCAUAAAGUUCUCUCCAAUGGGAUUUAAGGCAAAAAGUAACCCAUUAAAAUAACAAGACAACAUUAUUUCUUUUAAUAAAAAAAAAUUGUUGGCCAAGCAGAAUUAAUUCUUGUAAAAUUAUGUAUGAUUUUAUCUCCAAUGAAAAAUUUUUAAGUUAAAAAGAAUUAAAUUCUUUUAUUCUAAACAAGAUGAUCAUAAAAAAAAAAAAUUAAAUUGAAUUUUUGUAAAAGUUUUUAUUGCAAAGGAGGGAAUGUGUUCUAUGUGUUAGAGAGAGAUUCACCCAUUCUCAGUCUUUCAGUUUCCUUCCUUAGCUUUGAAACCUAGCUCUAACACCAUCACCCUUUCUCUACCCCUUGGUAAGGACAAGCCACUUUCCUAGACCUUAGUGUGGAUUCACUCCCUAUAGUCUAAUUAGAUUGUAGAUAGUUCAUUUUGAGUUUGUUUUUCUGGUAGUCGAUAGAAGAAUUUCUUUGGAGGACCGCUCUCUUUAUUUGUUUCAUUGUUUGCUGUCUUAAUGCAUUUUACAAGUUCACUUCUUUUGUCGAGAACUAGUAAAAGGAUUGGAUUACUUAAAUGUUACCAGUGAGACGCCAAUGAACCCUCUCACUGCCACCUACAGCCUGGGCUUUAUAAAUCUACUACUCCCUCUCCACGGCUUUCAAGUUCUCUUGGCUUUUGUUGUUUGGGCUCUACCUCAGUUCCAGUUGAUCUCUGGGUUGCUCUAUGUUGUUUUUCCUGCUAAUCUUUUUCCUAAGAGUCACAUGCAUACCUGAGAUCCCACGCUUCAAUACCGGCGUCGAUACUGGCAUGCGACAAACCCUCCGCAGUUGGGCAGCUCAUCAAGUAAAUCUCCAAAGCUAGGGUUUAUUUUGCGCUUAAUCUUUUGUGCUUUGUACUGAAAGGAGCUCAGAUAUAGCUUUUUAUUUGAAAACCCAUGGCCUGUAAUACUUGGAACUUCAACCCUGGAAUGUAUAUUGGGGUUUAGACCUCCUGUUUUCAAUCUAUGAAAUUUUCCUUGGGAAGAAAAUUAAAGGCAAAAAGUAUAUUUUACCUCAUCAUUUCAUGAAUUGUCAUUUUACUAAUCCAGUUUUAAUUUUUUUUAAUCCUAAUUUUAUAAAAAUAAUAUUUAUUAAUCCCUAAAUUCCUAAUAAACAAG